UGUUCUGCUUGGUUGGGAAAGUUCAGGGCCACUGAGCAACAUACCUACUUCCGGUUUUUUGAGAGCAGGAUAUAAGAGUUUUAGCUUUUCAGAGGGACUUUUUGUUUUGUCUUGUCUAAUCAGUUAGCAUUUCUAAAUCAGUGUUAAGUUAGCAUUGGGGCUGCAGGUAAAAUGCCAGGGAGAGGAAAGGUUCCUCUCCUGACCGCUAGGUUAGCUGCUCUAACGUGGGUGCAAGCGGUUGCGUCAGAAACUCCCAUCGUUUCACGGUUGAGCGACACUCUGGGUGUGGGCAUACCACAUUUGUUAACUUUUCCUCCACCGGUGCACAAUGAGACAGUUUUUGUCUUUGACUUCUAUGAGUGAGUCUGCUAAGAAUAUGGCCUUGAACCUCUGUUCCAGUUCUUGCUUUCGCUCCUCUGGGGUACAUGCAUGGAGCUGGACUUGCCAAAUCAUAUGCUAAAGCUACAUUUAGGGGUUUUAGUAUUUGUGCGUCCUUGCUAACACUGCUUGUGGUUUGUUUAUCUGGUGGUAGUGGUGUUUUUAGUUAGUAUAUCAUUUGGUUUUUAGUUAUUUUUGUUAGUUGCUUUUCUUUCUUAUUGCUGAGACAAAAUAAAGAAAUAAUUUGGGAAGAGAAUUUGAUUCAAAUGACAUUUUCCUGACAGGGAAGGCGGGGAUUACCCUACCACCUGUCUGUGGGAGCUCUCAAGUAGGCCUUUUGCUUAGGAGGCCUCCAUGUGGAAUGGCCACUUCUGAAACUGCAAAGUGGUAUGUGGCUUGUGGACCCACGGAAGGGAAGCACAGAGAAGGUAGGUAUGUUCAGCAUCGUAUGCUUUAGAAGAAAGUGCAGCCCAGUCUCUCUUGUGACUGGGGACAAGGGAGACAUCCAACAGGCAGGGGAAAAGUCUGUAAUGGUUAGCCCAAUUCUGUACAGUAGCUAGAUGCAAGAGACUUGUCAGGAAAAAAAAAAGUUACCUUGAGAGUUGCUCACCUUGUUUGUCAUAAAGUGUCCCAGCCCCUUGUCUGCUCUGGAUGCUGAUGCACACAUCAGCAAGAGUUGGUGAUAAAGCCUUUGUAAAUCUUGGCUUUGCUUGUUUCAUGCAUCCUUACGAUUGACUCUGGCCCGAGUGUCUGGGCGAUGUGAACCUGCUUUCAAGCUGCUCGGAGUUGGCAGAUUUCUCUCUAGUACAUCAAACCAUCGGGGACCAGCUAGAGUCUGCCUCCAGGAUCACCAUAGGAAUUAUCUGAGAUGUGUGGAAAUGUCAGGUGCCUUCCACCAGAGGGUCCAUGUCACGUUUUUCUUCUUUAUUCAGCAUCUCACAUCAUAUGCAACAAGGAGCACCGUUAACAGCAUGAGAUACCUGGCAGCAUCACCCAGCACAAUGAGGCAAAUAACCAACAUCAAGGAAACAAGCGAUUAUAGAUGUUAACGAGGGUGUGAGGGAAGAGGACCAGUAGAUGUCGUGAAGGAGGUUCCUAAAAUGCUGACACAGAUCUACCCUGUGAUCUGGCUGUAUAAUCCUAAAUAGUCAUCAAAGGAUUCCCGUCAACACACCACAAAGGUACUUAUAUAUCCUUGUUCACAGUGGAUACAUCUUAAAGAUCAAUCAAUAGAUGAGUGGAUAAAGAAAGUAUAACAUGGAUACACAAUGAAAUUAUAUUCAGCUGUAAGAAGAAUAAGUUAAGGCAUUCAUGGGAACAUGAGCUACACUGGAGAUCGUAAUUCUAAAUGAAAGAAACCAGACUCAGAAAGCUAAAGAUCACAUGCUUCCUCUCAUAAUGUGGAGUGUGUGUGUGUGUGUGUGUGUGUGUGUGUGUGUGUGUGUAGAAUAAGAA
Myodes glareolus (Bank vole) is the source of this 1833-nucleotide non-coding RNA. NCBI's taxonomy places the organism in Eukaryota, Metazoa, Chordata, Mammalia, Rodentia, Cricetidae. The record is from RefSeq and is a predicted model, not a curated record.